This is a non-coding RNA of Caenorhabditis elegans, 129 nucleotides long. The record is from Ensembl. NCBI's taxonomy places the organism in Eukaryota, Metazoa, Nematoda, Chromadorea, Rhabditida, Rhabditidae.
UUAGCUCACUGGCUCAUCUAACUCGUCAAAUGUUGUACAAAGUGACCUUCUAAUCGGCGGCGGCCUUUUUACCCGCGAGUUGAAAGGCAAGAAGUCAGUUGUGCGAAGGUAUAUGAUCAACUUGAAUAA